RNAcentral lists this ribosomal RNA (492 nucleotides) under uncultured bacterium. Its description in RNAcentral is "partial 16S ribosomal RNA". It matches the Rfam family "Bacterial small subunit ribosomal RNA", at positions 28 to 507 of the family's 1533-position model. The record is from RNAcentral.
GAUGAACGCUAGCUACAGGCUUAACACAUGCAAGUCGAGGGGAAACGCCAUCGAAAGCUUGCUUUUGAUGGGCGUCGACCGGCGCACGGGUGAGUAACGCGUAUCCAACCUGCCCAUCACUUGGGAAUAACCUUGCGAAAGUAAGACUAAUACCCAAUGACAUCCCACGAAGACAUCUGAAUGGGAUUAAAGAUUUAUCGGUGAUGGAUGGGGAUGCGUCUGAUUAGCUUGUUGGCGGGGUAACGGCCCACCAAGGCAACGAUCAGUAGGGGUUCUGAGAGGAAGGUCCCCCAAAUUGGAACUGAGACACGGUCCAAACUCCUACGGGAGGCAGCAGUGAGGAAUAUUGGUCAAUGGGCGAGAGCCUGAACCAGCCAAGUAGCGUGCAGGAUGACGGCCCUAUGGGUUGUAAACUGCUUUUAUAAGGGAAUAAAGUGGGUCUCGUGAGACUUUUUGCAUGUACCUUAUGAAUAAGGACCGGCUAAUUCCGUG